GCGCACGCUGGCGGCAGGCCUAACACAUGCAAGUCGAACGGAUCCUUCGGGAUUAGUGGCGGACGGGUGAGUAACACGUGGGAACGUGCCCUUUGGUUCGGAACAACUCAGGGAAACUUGAGCUAAUACCGGAUGUGCCCUUCGGGGGAAAGAUUUAUCGCCAUUGGAGCGGCCCGCGUCUGAUUAGCUAGUUGGUGAGGUAACGGCCCACCAAGGCGACGAUCAGUAGCUGGUCUGAGAGGAUGAUCAGCCACACUGGGACUGAGACACGGCCCAGACUCCUACGGGAGGCAGCAGUGGGGAAUCUUGCGCAAUGGGCGAAAGACUGACGCAGCCAUGCCGCGUGAAUGAUGAAGGUCUUAGGAUUGUAAAAUUCUUUCAGCGGGGACGAUAAUGACGGUACCCGCAGAAGAAGCUCCGGCUAACUUCGUG
RNAcentral lists this ribosomal RNA (432 nucleotides) under uncultured bacterium. RNAcentral's name for it is "partial 16S ribosomal RNA". It matches the Rfam family "Bacterial small subunit ribosomal RNA", at positions 29 to 507 of the family's 1533-position model. The record is from RNAcentral.